Molecule: small nucleolar RNA, 93 nt
Organism: Cornus florida
Lineage: Eukaryota; Viridiplantae; Streptophyta; Magnoliopsida; Cornales; Cornaceae
Product: small nucleolar RNA snoR113
Exons: 1
Source: RefSeq, a predicted model, not a curated record
UGGCAAUGAUGACAAAAAGGCCGGACUUACGGCUGCUUCCAUAUGGUUGGUAGUAGAUUGAAGAAAGUUUCAGCAAGGUACUUUCUGAGCCAG